GCCCCCAUAGUUCAACGGACAGAACGAGACACUCCUAACGUCUAAAUCCAUGUUCGAUUCAUGGUGGGGGCA
Molecule: transfer RNA, 72 nt
Filed under: Candidatus Magasanikbacteria bacterium RIFCSPHIGHO2_02_FULL_51_14
Lineage: Bacteria; Candidatus Magasanikiibacteriota
Description: tRNA-Arg
Rfam family: tRNA
About the family: Transfer RNA (tRNA) molecules are approximately 80 nucleotides in length. Their secondary structure includes four short double-helical elements and three loops (D, anti-codon, and T loops).
Source: RNAcentral